GUGCUCACUUGGGUGGCACAUAUACUAAAAUUGAGACGAAACAGAGAAGAUUAGUAUGGCCCUUGUACAAAGAUGACAUGCAAAUUCAUGAUGUGUUCCUUAUUUUU
This 107-nucleotide small nuclear RNA is filed under the name Phascolarctos cinereus (koala). Lineage: Eukaryota; Metazoa; Chordata; Mammalia; Diprotodontia; Phascolarctidae. The record is from RNAcentral.